GAUGAAGAACGUAGCGAAAUGCGAUAAGUAAUGUGAAUUGCAGAAUUCAGUGAAUCAUCGAAUCUUUGAACGCACAUUGCGCCCGUCGGCACUCCGGCGGGCAUGCCUGUCCGAGCGUCAUUUCAACCCUCAGGACCCCCUUCCGGGGGGGACCUGGCGCUGGGGAUCAGCGGCCUCCGGGCCCCUGUCCCCCAAAUGCAGUGGCGGUCGCGCCGCAGCCUCCCCUGCGUAGUAGCACACCUCGCACCGGAGAGCGGCUCGGCCACGCCGUGAAACCCCCAAUUUUUCAAGGUUGACCUCGGAUCAGGUAGGAAUACCCGCUGAACUUAAGCAUAUCAAUAAGCGGAGGA
RNAcentral lists this unclassified non-coding RNA (350 nucleotides) under soil metagenome. RNAcentral describes it as "partial contains 5.8S ribosomal RNA, internal transcribed spacer 2, and large subunit ribosomal RNA". The stretch from base 1 to 120 matches the Rfam family "5.8S ribosomal RNA", at positions 35 to 154 of the family's 154-position model. The record is from RNAcentral.